Malania oleifera is the source of this 1104-nucleotide RNA transcript. RefSeq lists it as uncharacterized. The record is from RefSeq and is a predicted model, not a curated record. The transcript is spliced from 4 exons. Lineage: Eukaryota; Viridiplantae; Streptophyta; Magnoliopsida; Santalales; Ximeniaceae.
CCAGCCGAAGGGUUUUUGAUAGCAUGAACCGGCCUUGUCAAGGUCGUGAAGAAUGCCUCGUGCGACGCCCGUCCUGCGCCAGAUUCGCAAAGCCAUUGCAGAUCGCGAUUUGCUCAAGGUCCUGACUUCCGAGAUCAAGCACGAACUUUCGUCAAAUCGCUUUCAGGAUUCUCAAAGUGGUUCUUUGGGAGAUUUUGUGUUGAUCUGGGAUGCACCGAAGUCCCUGGACGUGUUUUUGCGGAGGAAAUAUGAUACUGGAGAGGAGGUUGCUGUUUCAGCUUUUCUAGAUCCACAAACUUAUAGUUCAGAUGAUAUGCUUCCUAGGGAGGCUCUGAUGAAAGUUUGCAUUAAAAAGCCUGGCCUCUGCUCCAAUUUACAGUUUGACUGCAGAGUUUUCAGUGGAGGCAACUGCCGGUUUGAAUUUGACAUCCACAAUGCUUAUUAUCUCCGGUCAUCAACUUGUCUGAGCCCUUCAGUCUAUAGGGGUCCCUUAUUCAGCUCUUUGGAUCCUCAGUUGCAAGAAGCACUCAAGGAAUACCUAGUAGAUAAGGGUGUUGGAGAAAGCUUGACCAACUUCCUUCUCCACCACCUACAUAGAAAGGAGCAAGCUCAAUAUGUGCACUGGUUGCAUGAGCUGGAAAAGUUUGUGGGAGAGGAUGUCUGAUUUAGACAACUGGCAGCAGCAAAUGCUACUUGUAUGCUUCUGUUAUCUCAUACCAUUAGAUCACUUCUUGUAGGAAGACACUAUUGAUUCAUCUAAUUUUAGGUCAAUAUUUUUUCUGAUCGUUCGAGGAACAUGAACAAGCAAUUGUGAGUCACAAGGACAAACUUCGCAAAAGAAAAAAGGAAAAAAAGAAGGCGAAGCGCUGCUAUCACACGAGGUGAACCAGCUAGGCGAGCGGAGCAAGCUCGCAGGUAGAGGGGCUGUAGUACUGCCCUUGUUGAGAGUGAAUAUUAUUUUUGAGUGGCAUGUUUUGUAAACCCUUAGUAACUGUAAGGGUAGUUUUCGAGGAACAACAAUGUUUGUAUAUCGUGGGAUGAUUUGACACUCUGGUAUUGUAUUAUGUGUGGUUUUAUUUUAUAUGAUUGACCUUCUGCUGUUUA